Molecule: long non-coding RNA, 564 nt
Filed under: Gallus gallus (chicken)
Lineage: Eukaryota; Metazoa; Chordata; Aves; Galliformes; Phasianidae
Source: RNAcentral
CCAGUCCACAGAGCCUCUUUCCUUUCAGUGGUCCUAAUUUCUUGAGUUCUGCUUCACCUUUUCAGAGUUUGUGAAUGCAAAAUUUAUCAGUAAUGGAGUGAUAAAGGCCAUAUAAUGAUGCUUUCUCUUUAGUUUGUUGUCCUGAAUUUCAAAUCUUAGACUUUCCUCUUUUUUUUCAAGUGAUUAUGGUCACUCAGUAAAUUAUGCACAACAACUUAUUCCUGACCAAUAUUAGCAAAUUAAAACCUAUUAUGGAAUAUGCACCAUUUGGGAGUCUUUGCAGUUGUGCAAAAUUUGUGUUUGUUACUGUUGAAUUACAGGAGCCAACUUCUCAGCCCAUCACUAAGCAUCGUGUUGCCGGCUGGCUCUGUGCAACCUGGGUUGCAGCUCCAACAACUCCCAGCAGGAUGGGCCCACUCAGUCCCAACCUUGGAGAGAGUCCCAGUAAACGCCGACUGAGACGUGAGGAUGGGAAGGACAGAGAGGAUGAGUGACAUCACUAUUUCCAGUAAGAACAAACUGCUCUGUGAGCAGGUGUGGGCCUUACAGCUGGUGCUGCUGAGG